Molecule: ribosomal RNA, 468 nt
Filed under: uncultured bacterium
Lineage: Bacteria
Description: partial 16S ribosomal RNA
Rfam family: Bacterial small subunit ribosomal RNA
Source: RNAcentral
GAUGAACGCUGGCGGCGUGCUUAACACAUGCAAGUCGAACGGAAAGGCCGAAGCUUGCUUCGGUACUCGAGUGGCGAACGAGUGAGUAACACGUGGGUGAUCUGCCCUGUACUUCGGGAUAAGCUUGGGAAACUGGGUCUAAUACCGGAUAUGACGAUCCCUUGGAUGGGGUUGUGGAAAGCUUUUGCGGUAUGGGAUGAGCUCGCGGCCUAUCAGCUUGUUGGUGGGGUAAUGGCCUACCAAGGCGUCGACGGGUAGCCGGCCUGAGAGGGUGUACGGCCACAUUGGGACUGAGAUACGGCCCAGACUCCUACGGGAGGCAGCAGUGGGGAAUAUUGCACAAUGGGCGCAGGCCUGAUGCAGCGACGCCGCGUGGGGGAUGACGGCCUUCGGGUUGUAAACUCCUUUCGCAAUCGACGAAGCCUUUUGGUGACGGUAGGUUGAGAAGAAGCACCGGCUAACUACGUG